This 327-nucleotide ribosomal RNA is filed under the name uncultured Chlorobiota bacterium. Its description in RNAcentral is "bacterial SSU rRNA". It matches the Rfam family "Bacterial small subunit ribosomal RNA", at positions 28 to 351 of the family's 1533-position model. Lineage: Bacteria; Pseudomonadati; Chlorobiota. The record is from RNAcentral.
GACGAACGCUGGCGGCGUGCUUAACACAUGCAAGUCUACGAGAAUAAGGUAGCAAUAUCUUUAGUAAAGUGGCGCACGGGUGAGUAACACGUAAGUAACCUACCUUUAGAUUUGGAAUAACCCCGAGAAAUCGGGGCUAAUACCGAAUGAUGCAGCGGCACCACAUGGUGAUGUUGUUAAAGUCUAUAUGACGUCUAAAGAUGGGCUUGCGUCUGAUUAGCUUGUUGGUGAGGUAACGGCUCACCAAGGCUACGAUCAGUAGCUGGUCUGAGAGGUUGAACGGCCACAUUGGGACUGAGAUACGGCCCAGACUCCUACGGGUGGCAG